CGUUCCAUGGCCAAACUGGUCAAGGCAUCACCUUUUAGAAGCGAAGAUGCGGGUUCGAGUCCCGCUGGAAUGG
This 73-nucleotide transfer RNA is filed under the name Operophtera brumata (winter moth). It matches the Rfam family "tRNA". Rfam says of the family: Transfer RNA (tRNA) molecules are approximately 80 nucleotides in length. Their secondary structure includes four short double-helical elements and three loops (D, anti-codon, and T loops). Further hydrogen bonds mediate the characteristic L-shaped molecular structure. tRNAs have two regions of fundamental functional importance: the anti-codon, which is responsible for specific mRNA codon recognition, and the 3' end, to which the tRNAs corresponding amino acid is attached (by aminoacyl-tRNA synthetases). tRNAs cope with the degeneracy of the genetic code in two manners: having more than one tRNA (with a specific anti-codon) for a particular amino acid; and 'wobble' base-pairing, i.e. permitting non-standard base-pairing at the 3rd anti-codon position. The record is from Rfam by way of RNAcentral. Lineage: Eukaryota; Metazoa; Arthropoda; Insecta; Lepidoptera; Geometridae.